RNAcentral lists this ribosomal RNA (468 nucleotides) under uncultured bacterium. RNAcentral's name for it is "partial 16S ribosomal RNA". It matches the Rfam family "Bacterial small subunit ribosomal RNA", at positions 28 to 507 of the family's 1533-position model. The record is from RNAcentral.
GACGAACGCUGGCGGCGUGCUUAACACAUGCAAGUCGAACGGAAAGGCCCUGCUUUUGUGGGGUGCUCGAGUGGCGAACGGGUGAGUAACACGGGAGUAACCUGGCCUUGACUUUGGGAUAACUUCAGGAAACUGGGGCUAAUACCGGAUAGGUGCUCCUGCUGCAUGGUGGUGGUUGGAAAGUUUAGGCGGUUGGGGAUGGACUCGCGGCUUAUCAGCUUGUUGGUGGGGUAGUGGCUUACCAAGGCUUUGACGGAUAGCCGGCCUGAGAGGGUGACCGGCGACAUUGGGACUGAGAUACGGACCAGACUCCUAUGGGAGGCAGCAGUGGGGAAUAUUGCACAGUGGGCGGAAGCCUGAUGCAGAAACGCCGCGUGCGGGAUGACGGCCUUCGGGUUGUAAACCGCUUUAGCCUGUGACGAAGCGUGAGUGACGGUAAUGGGUAAAGAAGCACCGGCUAACUACGUG